GGAGCCCCCUGAGCUGGCAGACACCUGUGCGACACAGCAAUGGGCCCCCAGCUCCUGGGCUGUGUGGUGCUUUGUCUACUGGGAGCAGGCCCCCUGGAAGCUGAAGUGACCCAGAAUCCAAGACACCUUAUCACAGAGACCAAAAAGAAGUUGACAGUGGCUUGUUCGCAGAAUAUGGACCAUGACGCUAUGUACUGGUACCGACAAGACCCUGGACUGGGGCUCAAGCUGAUCUAUUAUUCAAUUAAUGUGGGCCGUAUUGAAAGGGGAGAUGUCCCUGAUGGGUACAAGGUGUCUCGAACAGAGAAGAAAAAUUUCCCACUGAUCCUGGAGUCGACCAGCAUCAGCCAGACCUCUCUGUACCUUCGUGCCAGCAGUAUAUCCACAGCAUGGCAGGGCCAGAGGCUGUCCCCACAAAAAGGGCAGCCACAGAGCAAAGAGGCUCCUCCCUCUGGAUGCCCCGCCCACCAGGAGGAAAACCUUCCCCCACCAUCUGUGCCCAUGGGAGUUCCUCCUCCACUCCCCAGCUUCUGGGCUGACAGUCUGAAGGUCUGCAGCCUGUCCUGCUCUCACUUGCUGUACCAGUGUGUUUGUCAAAGUUCAGGCAGGACAAGAGCUGUGUUUGGUCUAGUGCACAGGUAA
Molecule: non-coding RNA, 642 nt
Organism: Artibeus jamaicensis (Jamaican fruit-eating bat)
Lineage: Eukaryota; Metazoa; Chordata; Mammalia; Chiroptera; Phyllostomidae
Source: the annotation of a RefSeq genome assembly